CCAUUAUCGUUCUACAGAAACGGCUUGAUAACAAUUUAAUAAUUUAUUUAGUACAACUAUACUACUAUACAGAGCGUUAUAGUGACGUUAUUUUGGGAAAGUUGUAUUAAUGUCUAUAUUUAAACCGGGAGAUUAUUUAACCCGCGCGACCGAUUGAAAGUUUAUAAAUAAAUAGUUGAAUGAUUUCUUUGCCUUUGGUUUAAUUUUUCUUUGGUUUUCAUUUCUCUUGGUUUUCUUUUUUGCGGGUUUUUUUUCAGUAUGGGUACCAUGAUUCAUUAAUUGUAACCUUACUAAAAUUGGUUUACAAUCAAUUCGUGACUCUCAAUGAAUUUGUGGUUACAUGGCGAUAAAACAAUCAGUUUUAUAACUAUUUUGAAUUAUCACUUCAUAAUAUAUAUA
Molecule: non-coding RNA, 399 nt
Organism: Cinara cedri
Lineage: Eukaryota; Metazoa; Arthropoda; Insecta; Hemiptera; Aphididae
Source: the annotation of a GenBank genome assembly